CCUACGGGGGGCAGCAGGGAGGAAUAUUGGUCAAUGGCCGGAAGGCUGAACCAGCCAAGUCGCGGGAAGGAAGAAGGAUCUAUGGGUUGUAAAAUUCAUUUAUAGGGGAAUAAAGGUAUCCACGUGUGGAGAUUUGCAUGUACCCUAUGAAUAAGCAUCGGCUAACUCCGUGCCAGCAGCCGCGGUAAUACGGAGGAUGCGAGCGUUAUCCGGAUUUAUUGGGGUGAAAGGGUGCGUAGGUGGUUUUUGAAGUCAGCGGUGAAAGUUUGUGGCUCAACCAGAAAAUUGCCGUUGAAACGGGCAGUCUUGUGUGUGUUUGAGGUCGGCUGCCUGCGUUGUUUAGCGGU
This 347-nucleotide ribosomal RNA is filed under the name uncultured bacterium. Its description in RNAcentral is "partial 16S ribosomal RNA". It matches the Rfam family "Bacterial small subunit ribosomal RNA", at positions 338 to 682 of the family's 1533-position model. The record is from RNAcentral.